CAGCGUCACGAGUGGCAACCAUAUUUAUUGGGCCUAAAGCGUCCGUAGCCUGUUUGAUAAGUCUUUUGUGAAAUCGUUGCGCUCAACGUAACGUUGUGCAAGAGAUACUGUCAGACUUGGAAUUGGGAAGAGUUAGAGGUAUUCUGGGGGGAGCGGUAAAAUGCUAUAAUCCCUGGAGGACCACCAGUGGCGAAAGCGUCUAACUAGAACAACUUCGACGGUGAGGGACGAAAGCCAGGGGAGCAAAACGGAUUAGAUACCCGUGUAGUCC
This 271-nucleotide ribosomal RNA is filed under the name uncultured archaeon. RNAcentral describes it as "partial 16S ribosomal RNA". It matches the Rfam family "Archaeal small subunit ribosomal RNA", at positions 477 to 747 of the family's 1478-position model. The record is from RNAcentral.